UCAAAUGAUGAAAGGCUUAUAGUGGAUACCUAGGCACCCAGAGACGAGGAAAGGCAUAAUAAGCGACGAAAUGCUUCGGGGAGUUGAAAAUAAGCGUAGAUAUGGAGAUUCCCGAAUAGGUCAACCUUUCAAACUACUGCUGAAUCCAUGGGCAAGCAAGAGACAACUUGGCGAACUGAAACAUCUUAGUAGCUAGAGGAAAAGAAAGCAAAAGUGAUUCUCGUAGUAGUGGUGAGCGAAAUGGGAGUAGCCUAAAUCGUGAAAACGGGGUUGUGGGAGAGCAAUACAAGCGUUGUGCUGCUAGGCGAAGCGGUGGAAUACUGCACCUUAGAUGGCGAUAGUCCAGUAGCCGAAAGCAUCACUAGUUUACGCUCUGACUCGAGUAACAUGGGGCACAUGGAAUCCCGUGUGAAUCAGCAAGGACCACCUUGCAAGGCUAAAUACUCUUGGGUGACCGAUAGUGAAGUAGUACCGUGAGGGAAGGGUGAAAAGAACCUCCAUCAGGGAGUGAAAUAAAACAUGAAAUUGUAAGCUCCCAAGUAGUGCGAGGAGCCCGGGGCUCUGACCACAUGCCUAUUGAAGAAUGAGCCAGUGACUCAUAGGCAGUGGCUUGGUUAAGGGAACCCAUCGGAACCGUAGCGAAAGUGAGUCUUCAUAGGGCAAUUGUCACUGCUUAUGGACCCGAGCCUGGGUGAUCUAUCCAUGACUAGGAUGAAGCUUGGGUGAAACUAAGUGAAGGUCCGAAUCGACUGAUGUUGAAGAAUCAGCGGAUGAGUUGUGGUUAGGGGUGAAAUACCACUUGAACCCAGAGCUAGCUAGUUUUCCUCGAAAUGCAUUGAGGCGUAGCAGUUGAUUGGACAUCUAGGGGUAAAGCACUGUUUCAAUGCGGGCUGCGAGAGCAGUACCAAAUCGAGGCAAACUCUGAAUACUAGAUAUGACCUAAAAAUAACAAGGGUCAAGGUCGGCAAGUGAGACGAUGGGGGAUAAGCUUCAUCAUCGAGAGGGAAACAGCCCUAAUCACCCGCUAAGGCUCCUAAAUGAUCGCUCAAUUAUAAAGGAAGUAGGGGUGCAGAGACAGCUAGGAGGUUUGCCUAGAAGCAGCCACCCUUGAAAGUGUGCAUAAUAGCUCACUGAUUGAGCGCUCUUGCGCCGAAGAUGAACGGGGCUAAGUGAUUUGCCGAAGCUAUGGGAUGUAAAAAGGCGUCGGUAGGGGAGCGUUUCAUCUUAGAGGGAAGCACCUGCGCGAGCAGUGGUAGACGAAGUGGAAGCGAGAAUGUCAGCUUGAGUAACGUAAACAUUGGUGAGAAUCCAAUGCCCUGAAAACCUAAGGGUUCCUUUGUAAGGUUCAUCCACGGAGGGUGAGUCAGGGCCUAAGAUCAGGCCGAAAGGCAUAGUCGAUGGACAACAGGUGAAUAUUCCUGUACUUCCCCUUGUUGGUUCCGAGGGAUGGAGGAGGCUAGGUUAGCCGAAAGAUGGUUAUUGAUUCAAGGACGCAAGGUGCCCUUGCUUUUUCAGGGUAAGAAGGGGUAGAGAAAAUACCUCAAGCCAAUGUUCGAGUACCAGGUGCUACGGCGCUGAGGCACUGAAGUAACCCAUGCCAUACUCCCAGGAAAAGCUUGAAUGACCUUCAACAAAAGGGUACCUGUACCCGAAACUGACACAGGUAGGUAGGUAGAGAAUACCUAGGCGCGCGAGACAACUCUCUCUAAGGAACUCAGCAAAAUAGCCCUGUAACUUUGGGAGAAGGGGUGCCUCCUUACAAAAGGGGUCGUAGUGACCAGGCUCGGGCGACUGUUUACCAAAAACACAGGUCUCCGCAAAGUCGUAAGACCAUGUAUGGGGGUUGACGCCUUCCCAGUGCUAGAAGGUCAAGGAAGUUGGUGACCUGAUGCCAGGGGAGCCAGCAACCGAAGCCCCGGUGAACGGCAGCCGUAACUAUAACGGUCCUAAGGUAGCAAAAUUCCUUAUUGGGUAAGUUCUGACCCGCACGAAAGGCGUAACGAUCUGGGCACUGUCUGGGAGAGAGACUCGGUGAAAUAGACAUGUCUGUGAAGUUGCGGACUACCUGUACCUAGACAGAAAGACCCUAUGAAGCUUCACUAUUCCCUGGGAUUGGUUUUGGGCCUUUCCUGCGCAGCUUAGGUGGAGGGCGAAGAUGGCCCCCUUCUGGGGGGGCGAUAGCUGUCAGUGAGAUACCACUCUAGAAGAGCUAGAAUUCUAACCUUGUGUCAGGACCUACGGGUUAAGGGAUAAUCUUAGGUAGACAGUUUCUAUGGGGCAUAGACCUUCUAAAAUGUAAUGGAGGUGUGCAAAGGUUUCCUCGGGCCAAACGAAGAUUGGCCCUCGAGUGCAAAGGCAAAAGGGAGCUUGACUGCAAGACCCACCCGUCGAGCAGGGACGAAAGUCGGCCUUAGUGAUUCGACGGUGCCGAGUGGAAGGGUCGUCGCUCAACGGAUAAAAGUUACUCUAGGGAUAACAGGCUGAUCUUCCCCAAGAGCUCACAUCGACGGGAAGGUUUGGCACCUCGAUGUCGGCUCUUCGCUACCUAGGGCUAUAGUAUGUUCCAAGGGUUGGGCUGUUCACCCAUUAAAGCGGUACGUGAGCUGGGUUCAGAACGUCGUGAGAUAGUUUGGUCCAUAUCCGGUGUGGGCGUUAGAGCAUUGAGAGGACCUUUCCCUAGUACGAGAGGACCAAGAAGGAUGCACCUCUAGUGUACCAGUUAUCGUGCCCACGGUAAACGCUGGGUAGCUAAGUGCGGAGCAGAUAACUGCUGAAAACAUCUAAGUGGUAAGCCUACCCCAAGAUGAGUGCUCUCCUAUUUCGACUUCCCCAGAGCCUUUGGUAGCACAGCCGAGACAGCAAUGGGUUCUCUGCCCCUGCGGGGAUGGAGCGACAAAAGUUUUGAGAAUUCAAGAGAAGGUCACGACAAGACGAGCCGUUUAUCAUUACGAUAGGUGUCAAGUGGAAGUGCAGUGAUGUAUGCAGUUGAGGCAUCCUAACAUACUAGUAGACUUGAACCU
Molecule: ribosomal RNA, 3020 nt
Filed under: Casuarina equisetifolia subsp. incana
Lineage: Eukaryota; Viridiplantae; Streptophyta; Magnoliopsida; Fagales; Casuarinaceae
Description: bacterial LSU rRNA
Rfam family: Bacterial large subunit ribosomal RNA
Source: RNAcentral